AGGUCAGAUAUUCUGUCUUUCAGUGAUAUACACCCUGGAACACAGGCUAGCUGAUCUGG
RNAcentral lists this microRNA precursor (59 nucleotides) under Monodelphis domestica (gray short-tailed opossum). RNAcentral describes it as "microRNA mdo-mir-7385i precursor (mdo-mir-7385i-1)". The record is from miRBase by way of RNAcentral. Lineage: Eukaryota; Metazoa; Chordata; Mammalia; Didelphimorphia; Didelphidae.